RNAcentral lists this ribosomal RNA (162 nucleotides) under Mallotus nudiflorus. Its description in RNAcentral is "5.8S ribosomal RNA". It matches the Rfam family "5.8S ribosomal RNA". From Rfam's summary of the family: 5.8S ribosomal RNA (5.8S rRNA) is a component of the large subunit of the eukaryotic ribosome. It is transcribed by RNA polymerase I as part of the 45S precursor that also contains 18S and 28S rRNA. The record is from RNAcentral. Lineage: Eukaryota; Viridiplantae; Streptophyta; Magnoliopsida; Malpighiales; Euphorbiaceae.
AACGACUCUCGGCAACGGAUAUCUCGGCUCUCGCAUCGAUGAAGAACGCAGCAAAAUGCGAUACUUGGUGUGAAUUGCAGAAUCCCGUGAAUCAUCGAGUUUUUGAACGCAAGUUGCGCCCGAAGCCAUUCGGCCGAGGGCACGUCUGCCUGGGUGUCACGC